Molecule: ribosomal RNA, 444 nt
Filed under: uncultured bacterium
Lineage: Bacteria
Description: bacterial SSU rRNA
Rfam family: Bacterial small subunit ribosomal RNA
Source: RNAcentral
GACGCUGGCGGCAGGCCUAACACAUGCAAGUCGAACGAUCCUUCGGGAUAGUGGCAGACGGGUGAGUAACGCGUGGGAACCUUCCCUGUGGUACGGAAUAGCUCCGGGAAACUGGAAUUAAUACCGUAUACGCCCCUUGGGGGAAAGAUUUAUCGCCAUAGGAUGGGCCCGCGUCGGAUUAGCUUGUUGGUGAGGUAAUGGCUCACCAAGGCGACGAUCCGUAGCUGGUCUUAGAGGAUGAUCAGCCACACUGGGACUGAGACACGGCCCAGACUCCUACGGGAGGCAGCAGUGGGGAAUAUUGGACAAUGGGCGCAAGCCUGAUCCAGCCAUGCCGCGUGAGUGACGAAGGCCUUAGGGUUGUAAAGCUCUUUUGGCGGGGAAGAUAAUGACGGUACCCGCAGAAUAAGCCCCGGCUAACUUCGUGCCAGCAGCCGCGGUAAU